Molecule: ribosomal RNA, 96 nt
Filed under: uncultured bacterium
Lineage: Bacteria
Description: partial 16S ribosomal RNA
Rfam family: Bacterial small subunit ribosomal RNA
Source: RNAcentral
CACACCGCCCGUCACACAUGGGAGUUUGUUGCACCAGAAGCAGGUAGCCUAACCGCAAGGGGGGCGCUUGCCACGGUGUGGCCGAUGACUGGGGUG